Molecule: ribosomal RNA, 481 nt
Filed under: uncultured bacterium
Lineage: Bacteria
Description: partial 16S ribosomal RNA
Rfam family: Bacterial small subunit ribosomal RNA
Source: RNAcentral
AUUGAACGCUGGCGGCAUGCUUUACACAUGCAAGUCGAACGGUAACAGGCCGCAAGGUGCUGACGAGUGGCGAACGGGUGAGUAAUGCAUCGGAACGUGCCCAGUCGUGGGGGAUAACUACUCGAAAGAGUAGCUAAUACCGCAUACGAUCUAUGGAUGAAAGCGGGGGACCGUAAGGCCUCGCGCGAUUGGAGCGGCCGAUGUCAGAUUAGGUAGUUGGUGGGGUAAAGGCUCACCAAGCCAACGAUCUGUAGCUGGUCUGAGAGGACGACCAGCCACACUGGGACUGAGACACGGCCCAGACUCCUACGGGAGGCAGCAGUGGGAAUUUUGGACAAUGGGCGCAAGCCUGAUCCAGCAAUGCCGCGUGCAGGAAGAAGGCCUUCGGGUUGUAAACUGCUUUUGUACGGAACGAAACGGCUCUGGUUAAUACCCGGGGCUAAUGACGGUACCGUAAGAAUAAGCACCGGCUAACUACGUG